RNAcentral lists this ribosomal RNA (424 nucleotides) under uncultured prokaryote. Its description in RNAcentral is "bacterial SSU rRNA". It matches the Rfam family "Bacterial small subunit ribosomal RNA", at positions 355 to 796 of the family's 1533-position model. The record is from RNAcentral.
UGGGGAAUCUUAGACAAUGGGCGAAAGCCUGAUCUAGCCAUGCCGCGUGAGUGAAGAAGGUCUUAGGAUCGUAAAGCUCUUUCGCCAGGGAUGAUAAUGACAGUACCUGGUAAAGAAACCCCGGCUAACUCCGUGCCAGCAGCCGCGGUAAUACGGAGGGGGUUAGCGUUGUUCGGAAUUACUGGGCGUAAAGCGCGCGUAGGCGGAUUAGCAAGUUGGGGGUGAAAUCCCAGGGCUCAACCCUGGAACUGCCUUCAAAACUGCUAGUCUUGAGUUCGAGAGAGGUGAGUGGAACUCCGAGUGUAGAGGUGAAAUUCGUAGAUAUUCGGAAGAACACCAGUGGCGAAGGCGGCUCACUGGCUCGAUACUGACGCUGAGGUGCGAAAGUGUGGGGAGCAAACAGGAUUAGAUACCCCCGUAGUCC